CGUGUAGGCGGUUUGGCAAGUCGAGUGUGAAAUCCCACGGCUCAACCGUGGAACUGCGCUCGAAACUGCCUUACUUGAGUGCGGGAGAGGUGUGCGGAAUUCCUGGUGUAGCGGCGGAAUGCGUAGAUAUCAGGAAGAACACCGGUGGCGAAGGCGGCACACUGGCCCAGCACUGACGCUGAGGCGCGAAAGCGUGGGGAGCGAACG
RNAcentral lists this ribosomal RNA (207 nucleotides) under uncultured bacterium. RNAcentral describes it as "partial 16S ribosomal RNA". It matches the Rfam family "Bacterial small subunit ribosomal RNA", at positions 568 to 774 of the family's 1533-position model. The record is from RNAcentral.